RNAcentral lists this ribosomal RNA (836 nucleotides) under Limosilactobacillus mucosae. RNAcentral's name for it is "bacterial LSU rRNA". It matches the Rfam family "Bacterial large subunit ribosomal RNA", at positions 2089 to 2925 of the family's 2925-position model. Lineage: Bacteria; Bacillati; Bacillota; Bacilli; Lactobacillales; Lactobacillaceae. The record is from RNAcentral.
CCCCAUGGAGCUUUACUGUAGCUUGAUAUUGAGUGCUUGUACUGCUUGUACAGGAUAGGUAGGAGCCAUAGAAGCCAGGACGCUAGUUUUGGCAGAGGCGUUGGUGGGAUACUACCCUUGCAUUAUGAUCACUCUAACCCGCACCACUGAUCGUGGUGGGAGACAGUGUCAGGUGGGCAGUUUGACUGGGGCGGUCGCCUCCCAAAAGAUAACGGAGGCGCCCAAAGGUUCGCUCAGAAUGGUUGGAAAUCAUUCGCAGAGUGUAAAGGCACAAGCGAGCUUGACUGCGAGACAGACAGGUCGAGCAGGGACGAAAGUCGGGCUUAGUGAUCCGGUGGUUCCGCAUGGAAGGGCCAUCGCUCAACGGAUAAAAGCUACCCUGGGGAUAACAGGCUUAUCUCCCCCAAGAGUCCACAUCGACGGGGAGGUUUGGCACCUCGAUGUCGGCUCAUCGCAUCCUGGGGCUGUAGUCGGUCCCAAGGGUUGGGCUGUUCGCCCAUUAAAGCGGUACGCGAGCUGGGUUCAGAACGUCGUGAGACAGUUCGGUCCCUAUCCGUCGCGGGCGUAGGAAAUUUGAGAGGACCUGUCCUUAGUACGAGAGGACCGGGAUGGACAUACCGCUGGUGUACCAGUUGUUCCGCCAGGAGCAUCGCUGGGUAGCUAUGUAUGGAUGAGAUAAACGCUGAAAGCAUCUAAGCGUGAAACUCGCCUCAAGAUGAGAUUUCCCAUUUCUUAUGGAAGUAAGACCCCUCAGAGAUGAUGAGGUAGAUAGGAUGGAAGUGGAAGUGCCGCGAGGCAUGGAGCGGACCAUUACUAAUCGGUCGAGGACUUAACCA